Molecule: non-coding RNA, 413 nt
Organism: Nelumbo nucifera (sacred lotus)
Lineage: Eukaryota; Viridiplantae; Streptophyta; Magnoliopsida; Proteales; Nelumbonaceae
Source: RefSeq, a predicted model, not a curated record
UGUCUCUCUUGAUUAUCAGUUGUUCUGUUGUUUGUAGAUAGGAUGGAUGAUACUACAAAGUCGAGGGCAUGAUUUUGAUGAUUUGAACUUAGAGUUUGCCCAAAUGCUGCAAGACAAUACUGAUCAAGCUGUAGAACUUUUUGGUAUGAUAGCUAUAUCUUUGCCAAAGCUGAUAUGGAGGAAGGAGGGAUUCUAUUGGAAGCCAUCUCUGUAUGAGAAAGCCUCUGGUCAACAUGUGAACUAUUCCAAAUCAUCUCUUUGUAGAUGAUAGCUAUAUAUAUAUCUUAGACUCAUGAGAAUAUUGGCUUCCAUGCUCCAUAUUAAAAAGGUUGAUAAACCUUUAGUUUAUUUGGGGACUUUUUCUAUGAUAAACAUAAGAAAGUGUCAUCUUUUUGACUACUUGACUGAUAGAG